Non-coding RNA from Podarcis lilfordi (Lilford's wall lizard), 76 nucleotides. Lineage: Eukaryota; Metazoa; Chordata; Lepidosauria; Squamata; Lacertidae. The record is from the annotation of a GenBank genome assembly.
GGAAAGGUCUGUAGCUCAGAGGAAGAGCCUCUGCCUUGCAAGCAGAAGGUCCCAUGUUCAAAUCCUGGGAUCUCCA